GAUGAACGCUGGCGGCGUGCCUAAUACAUGCAAGUCGAGCGAACAGACGAGGAGCUUGCCUCUCUGACGUUAGCGGCGGACGGGUGAGUAACACGUGGAUAACCUACCUAUAAGACUGGGAUAACUUCGGGAAACCGGAGCCAAUACCGGAUCAUAUAUUGAACGGCAUGGUUCUAUAGUGCAAGCGGGAUUUGAUGUCACUUAUAGAUGGAUCCGCGCCGCAUUAGCUAGUUGGUAAGGUAACGGCUUACCAAGGCAACGAUGCGUAGCCGAUCUGAGAGGGUGAUCGGCCACACUGGAACUGAGACACGGUCCAGACUCCUACGGGAGGCAGCAGUAGGGAAUCUUCCGCAAAGGGCGAAAGCUUGACCGAGCAACGCCGCGUGAGUGAUGAAGGUCUUCGGAUCGUAAAACUCUGUUAUUAGGGAAGAACAAAUGUGUAAUUAACUAUGCACGUCUUGACGGUACCUAAUCAGAAAGCCACGGCUAACUUCGUG
Molecule: ribosomal RNA, 497 nt
Filed under: uncultured bacterium
Lineage: Bacteria
Description: partial 16S ribosomal RNA
Rfam family: Bacterial small subunit ribosomal RNA
Source: RNAcentral